CCAGACUCCUACGGGAGGCAGCAGUGGGGAAUAUUGGGCAAUGGGCGCAAGCCUGACCCAGCAACGCCGCGUGAAGGAAGAAGGCUUUCGGGUUGUAAACUUCUUUUGUCAGGGACGAAGCAAGUGACGGUACCUGACGAAUAAGCCACGGCUAACUACGUGCCAGCAGCCGCGGUAAUACGUAGGUGGCAAGCGUUAUCCGGAUUUACUGGGUGUAAAGGGAGUGUAGGUGGCAUAACAAGUCAGAAGUGAAAGCCCGGGGCUCAACCGCGGGACUGCUUUUGAAACUGUUAAGCUUGAGUGCAGGAGAGGCAGGCGGAAUUCCCAGUGUAGCGGUGAAAUGCGUAGAUAUUGGGAGGAACACCAGUGGCGAAGGCGGCCUGCUGGACAUUAACUGACGCUGAGGCGCGAAAGCGUGGGGAGCAAACAGGAUUAGAUACCCCUGUA
This 447-nucleotide ribosomal RNA is filed under the name uncultured bacterium. Its description in RNAcentral is "bacterial SSU rRNA". It matches the Rfam family "Bacterial small subunit ribosomal RNA", at positions 331 to 792 of the family's 1533-position model. The record is from RNAcentral.